CUUAGCACUCAUCGUUUACGGCGUGGACUACCAGGGUAUCUAAUCCUGUUCGCUCCCCACGCUUUCGCUCCUCAGCGUCAGUUACAGACCAGAGAGUCGCCUUCGCCACUGGUGUUCCUCCACAUCUCUACGCAUUUCACCGCUACACGUGGAAUUCCACUCUCCUCUUCUGCACUCAAGUUCCCCAGUUUCCAAUGACCCUCCCCGGUUGAGCCGGGGGCUUUCACAUCAAACUUAAAAAACCGCCUGCGAGCCCUUUACGCCCAAUAAUUCCGGACAACGCUUGCCACCUACGUAUUACCGCGGCUGCUGGCACGUAUUUAGCCGUGGCUUUCUGGUUAGGUACCGUCAAGGUACCGCCCUAUUCGAAACGGUACUUGUUCUUCCCUAACAACAGAGCUUUACGAUCCGAAAACCUUCAUCACUCCGGCGGCGUUGGCUCCGUCAGACUUUCGUCCAUUGGCGGAAGAAUCCCCUACU
RNAcentral lists this ribosomal RNA (480 nucleotides) under Bacillus subtilis. RNAcentral describes it as "partial 16S ribosomal RNA". The record is from RNAcentral. Lineage: Bacteria; Bacillati; Bacillota; Bacilli; Caryophanales; Bacillaceae.